AUCCUGCUGACGAGUCCCAAAUAGGACGAAACGCGCGUCCUCGAU
Molecule: non-coding RNA, 45 nt
Filed under: Schistosoma haematobium
Lineage: Eukaryota; Metazoa; Platyhelminthes; Trematoda; Strigeidida; Schistosomatidae
Source: RNAcentral